This 512-nucleotide ribosomal RNA is filed under the name uncultured bacterium. RNAcentral's name for it is "partial 16S ribosomal RNA". It matches the Rfam family "Bacterial small subunit ribosomal RNA", at positions 28 to 523 of the family's 1533-position model. The record is from RNAcentral.
GACGAACGCUGGCGGCGUGCCUAAUACAUGCAAGUCGAGCGGAACGGGGGCAGCUUGCUCCUUCCAGUUUAGCGGCGGACGGGUGAGUAACACGUGGGCAACCUGCCCUGCAGAUCGGGAUAACUCCGGGAAACCGGUGCUAAUACCGAAUAGUUUGGCGCCUCUCCUGAGGCGCUACGGAAAGACGGUUUCGGCUGUCACUGCAGGAUGGGCCCGCGGCGCAUUAGCUAGUUGGUGGGGUAACGGCCCACCAAGGCGACGAUGCGUAGCCGACCUGAGAGGGUGACCGGCCACACUGGGACUGAGACACGGCCCAGACUCCUACGGGAGGCAGCAGGAGGGAAUCUUCCGCAAUGGACGCAAGUCUGACGGAGCAACGCCGCGUGAGUGACGAAGGUUUUCGGAUCGUAAAACUCUGUUGUGAGGGAAGAACACGUACCAACUAACUAUUGGUACCUUGACGGUACCUCACCAGAAAGCCACGGCUAACUACGUGCCAGCCGCCGCCGUAA